AUUACCUACGGGACGCAGCAGUGGGGGAUAUUGGACAAUGGGGGAAACCCUGAUCCAGCGAUGCCGCGUGAGGGAAGAAGGUUUUCAGAUUGUAAACCUCUGUGGAGGGGGACGAUAAUGACGGUACCCCUUUAGGAAGCCACGGCUAACUACGUGCCAGCAGCCGCGGUAAUACGUAGGUGGCGAGCGUUGUCCGGAAUUACUGGGUGUAAAGGGGGUGUAGGCGGGAAAGCAAGUCAGAAGUGAAAACUAUGGGCUUAACCCAUAGCCUGCUUUUGAAACUUUUUUUUU
Molecule: ribosomal RNA, 291 nt
Filed under: uncultured bacterium
Lineage: Bacteria
Description: partial 16S ribosomal RNA
Rfam family: Bacterial small subunit ribosomal RNA
Source: RNAcentral